RNAcentral lists this ribosomal RNA (324 nucleotides) under Synechococcus sp. KUAC 3074. Its description in RNAcentral is "bacterial SSU rRNA". It matches the Rfam family "Bacterial small subunit ribosomal RNA", at positions 412 to 751 of the family's 1533-position model. Lineage: Bacteria; Bacillati; Cyanobacteriota; Cyanophyceae; Synechococcales; Synechococcaceae. The record is from RNAcentral.
AGGCCUCUGGGCUGUAAACCUCUUUUCUCAAGGAAGAAGAUCUGACGGUACUUGAGGAAUAAGCCACGGCUAAUUCCGUGCCAGCAGCCGCGGUAAUACGGGAGUGGCAAGCGUUAUCCGGAAUUAUUGGGCGUAAAGCGUCCGCAGGCGGCCCUUCAAGUCUGCUGUUAAAAAGUGGAGCUUAACUCCAUCGUGGCAGUGGAAACUGUUGGGCUAGAGUGUGGUAAGGGCAGAGGGAAUUCCCGGUGUAGCGGUGAAAUGCGUAGAUAUCGGGAAGAACACCAGUGGCGAAGGCGCUCUGCUGGGCCAUAACUGACGCUCAUG